GACGAACGCUGGCGGCGUGCCUAAUACAUGCAAGUUGAGCGAUGAAGAUUGGUGCUUGCACCAAUUUGAAGAGCAGCGAACGGGUGUGUAACGCGUGGGGAAUCUGCCUUUGAGCGGGGGACAACAUUUGGAAACGAAUGCUAAUACCGCAUAACAACUUUAAACAUAAGUUUUAAGUUUGAAAGAUGCAAUUGCAUCACUCAAAGAUGAUCCCGCGUUGUAUUAGCUAGUUGGUGAGGUAAAGGCUCACCAAGGCGAUGAUACAUAGCCGACCUGAGAGGGUGAUCGGCCACAUUGGGACUGAGACACGGCCCAAACUCCUACGGGAGGCAGCAGUAGGGAAUCUUCGGCAAUGGACGAAAGUCUGACCGAGCAACGCCGCGUGAGUGAAGAAGGUUUUCGGAUCGUAAAACUCUGUUGGUAGAGAAGAACGUUGGUGAGAGUGGAAAGCUCAUCAAGUGACGGUAACUACCCAGAAAGGGACGGCUAACUACGUG
RNAcentral lists this ribosomal RNA (497 nucleotides) under uncultured bacterium. RNAcentral describes it as "partial 16S ribosomal RNA". It matches the Rfam family "Bacterial small subunit ribosomal RNA", at positions 28 to 507 of the family's 1533-position model. The record is from RNAcentral.